RNAcentral lists this ribosomal RNA (253 nucleotides) under uncultured bacterium. Its description in RNAcentral is "partial 16S ribosomal RNA". It matches the Rfam family "Bacterial small subunit ribosomal RNA", at positions 524 to 776 of the family's 1533-position model. The record is from RNAcentral.
UACGGAGGGUGCAAGCGUUAUCCGGAUUCACUGGGUUUAAAGGGUGCGUAGGAGGGCAGGUAAGUCAGUGGUGAAAUCUCCAAGCUUAACUUGGAAACUGCCGUUGAUACUAUCUGUCUUGAAUAUUGUGGAGGUGAGCGGAAUAUGUCAUGUAGCGGUGAAAUGCUUAGAUAUGACAUAGAACACCUAUUGCGAAGGCAGCUUACUACGCAGAUAUUGACGCUCAUGCACGAAAGCGUGGGGAUCAAACAGG